AAGUCGUAACAAGGUCUCCGUUGGUGAACCAGCGGAGGGAUCAUUACCGAGUUUACAACUCCCAAACCCCUGUGAACAUACCACUUGUUGCCUCGGCGGAUCAGCCCGCUCCCGGUAAAACGGGACGGCCCGCCAGAGGACCACUAAACUCUGUUUCUAUAUGUAACUUCUGAGUAAAACCAUAAAUAAAUCAAAACUUUCAACAACGGAUCUCUUGGUUCUGGCAUCGAUGAAGAACGCAGCAAAAUGCGAUAAGUAAUGUGAAUUGCAGAAUUCAGUGAAUCAUCGAAUCUUUGAACGCACAUUGCGCCCGCCAGUAUUCUGGCGGGCAUGCCUGUUCGAGCGUCAUUUCAACCCUCAAGCACAGCUUGGUGUUGGGACUCGCGUUAAUUCGCGUUCCCCAAAUUGAUUGGCGGUCACGUCGAGCUUCCAUAGCGUAGUAGUAAAACCCUCGUUACUGGUAAUCGUCGCGGCCACGCCGUUAAACCCCAACUUCUGAAUGUUGACCUCGGAUCAGGUAGGAAUACCCGCUGAACUUAA
This 540-nucleotide ribosomal RNA is filed under the name Fusarium oxysporum. RNAcentral describes it as "eukaryotic LSU rRNA". The stretch from base 195 to 348 matches the Rfam family "5.8S ribosomal RNA". Lineage: Eukaryota; Fungi; Ascomycota; Sordariomycetes; Hypocreales; Nectriaceae. The record is from RNAcentral.